RNAcentral lists this ribosomal RNA (253 nucleotides) under uncultured bacterium. RNAcentral describes it as "partial 16S ribosomal RNA". It matches the Rfam family "Bacterial small subunit ribosomal RNA", at positions 524 to 776 of the family's 1533-position model. The record is from RNAcentral.
GACGUAGGGUGCAAGCGUUGUCCGGAUUUAUUGGGCGUAAAGAGCUCGUAGGCGGCUUGUUGCGUCGACUGUGAAAACCCGCGGCUUAACCGCGGGCUUGCAGUUGAUACGGGCAGGCUAGAGUUCGGUAGGGGAGACUGGAAUUCCUGGUGUAGCGGUGAAAUGCGCAGAUAUCAGGAGGAACACCGGUGGCGAAGGCGGGUCUCUGGGACGGUACUGACGCUGAGACGCGAAAGCGUGGGGAGCGAACAGG